Molecule: unclassified non-coding RNA, 213 nt
Filed under: plant metagenome
Description: partial contains small subunit ribosomal RNA, internal transcribed spacer 1, and 5.8S ribosomal RNA
Source: RNAcentral
UUUCCGUAGGUGAACCUGCGGAAGGAUCACUCAUAAUAAGUGUUUUAUGGCACUUUUUUAAAUCCAUAUCCACCUUGUGUGCAAUGUCAGGGUUGAUUUUUCUCUCGAGAGGAUCAACUCCAAACAUCAACUAUAUCUCAACUCUUUGUCUGAAAAAUAUUAUGAAUAAAACAAUUCAAAAUACAACUUUCAACAACGGAUCUCUUGGCUCUC